AGGUAUUGUGUCCAACUACUACUAAAUAAUAAUAAUAAUAAUAAUAAUAAUAAUAAUUGGUCAUGGAAGGUGCCACCAGCCCUGAAGCAGCUGCAGCUCUGGACACCUUAGGAAUUCCUUUCUGCUUUGAAGACUCUGGUGGCCCACCUUUAUGUGUGUCUGAUGGGGAUUCAUGCCCUCUAUAUUAUCCCAGGAGACCAUAUCUACGAUGGUCCACAACACAAGACUGUCUGCAGAAAACAUACUCUGUCAGGACCAGCUUUCAGCAUACAAACUCACAUUCAUUUUUGUGUUAGUCAGCUUUCCUUGACUCUAACAAAUACCUAAGUUAAUACAUUUAUAAAGAGCAAAUAACUUUUUUCUUUUUUUAUUCUGUUUUUUUUUUUUGUUGUUGUUGUUUGUUUGUUUGUUUUGUUUUUUUCUUUUUGGUGGGCAGGGGGAUGCCAGCAAUUGACCUCAGGGUCACUCAAUCACGGAGCCAGAUCCCCAGCCCUAUUUUGUAUUUUAUUUAGAGACAGGAUCUUACUGAGUUGCUUAGUACCUCACUUUUUGCUGAAGCUGGCUUUGAACUUGAGAUCCACCUGCCUCAGCCUCCUGAACCACUGGGAUUAUAGGCAUGCACCAUAGCUCCUGGAAAGAAAAGGAUUCUUUUGGCUCACAGUUUUGAAGUCCAUGACUGCUUGACCCCAUUGCAUUUGGGCUUGUGGUGAGGGAGCACAUCAAUACAGGAGGUUGUGUUAGGAAACCCAUUCACCUCAAGGCCAUGUGUAACAGAAGCAGACAGAAAAAGACUGAGGUUCUAUAAUUCUUUUGGGAGGACACCCUCAGUUACCUAAACCUCUACUUUGCACCAUUGCACCAUUGUUAUCUCUCUCUCUCUCUCUCUCUCUCUCUCUCUCUCUCUCUCUCUCUAUCUCUCUCGAUUAAAUCCAAGAGUGUUCUACCACCUAGAUAUACACCAGUGCUUUUUGACAUUUAUUUUUAAUCAGGUUUUUCUAAGUUUCCAAGGCUGGCCUUGAACUUGUGAUCUUCCUACCUUAGCCACCUGAGUAGCUGGGAUUACAGACUCCCCUAAGCUCUGCUGGGUCCCACCUCUCAAAGGCUCCACAACCACCACCCAAUAGCAUCAAGCCAUGGACUAAGCCUUUAACUCAUGGGCACUGGAUAGAUAUUCCAGGUUAGAGACCAGCAGUUAAGCCAUAGCAGCUUACUUGCUGGUCUCUAAUCUUCUGUAUUCUCAGGAGAAAUUUUACACAAUUCCUGUGCCUCCACCUCUCCAGUCUCAGAGAAUGAAACUCUCCACAUCCUCUCAAAGAAGCUGGACUAGAGGUGCAGAAAUAGGUAAAACACCCCCAAAUUUAGAGUAUGCAUGUGUUUAUCAGAAGGUGAAUAACAGUCUAAUGUUUGUAAAAUCCUCUAAUACCUAUUCUUUUAUAUCCUCUUUGUGGACUAGGGAUUUGUGAAGCUGGCAGGAUUUGAACAGUGAGACAAGUUCUAAAGCUUUGUCUGUAGAAAUUUUUAUCUUCAUUUGAUAACUCACUUGGUGCUUUUGCAGCUUUGAAAUCUCGGUGCUACAUUGUUAUUUCCUCAGGCAUGACCCUUCUUAUCUAUUGGGGUUUUGGUUUUGGGGGAGAUGCAGUGACAUCAAUGAUGCUUGCUAGGUCCCAAGCAGAGUGUCCAACACUUAUUAAGACUCAGAUACUGAUACAUUAUUCCCCCCAAAUUACUGUGCCCUAAAAAGGAUGUAGCACAUCAGAAACAUUCCAUAAAUGUUGAUGAAUGAUUUAAAGAUAUACCUCAGUGUAUUUCAAGACAGAUUAAAAUAAGUGCUAAGUAGCUACAAGUUUUGUAUGGUGACAACCAAGGGCAGUGACAGGUAAUUCUGCCUGGUGCAUCCUGAGGAAGUUUUGGCCAGGAAAUUGCCUUUGGGAUUUGAAUCACUGGAAAUGGAGCAUAUGGGUCAUGCAGAUUGGCUUUCAUUUAUGGGUGGCACUGGGUUAUUAUUUGGACCAAAUCAUGUUUCUUUGUGGGCCAGCCUCUCUCCCGUGGAGCUCUUUCCAUUAUACGUGAUAAAAGAUUGACUUUAACCAACUUAAACAGCAAAGGGAAAGAUUUUCUAAAAGUGCAAUGUGGAAGCACAGGUUUCAGCAGAAGGCCAGCUUGAUUUAGGCUUUUGGAUGCCACCAGGACCCACUUUGCAAUUCUGGUUAUUCUCAAUACAGAUAUCAUUCUCAGUCCAGUAUACAGCCCCUAUCUGGGGGAAAAAGGUGUUAGGCACUUCCAAAACUGCCUAGUUCCAGUUCAAAUCCAGUGAAAUGAAAGUCCAGCAUGUCUCCAUUUUUGCCUCCCCCACAGCAGUCCUGACAUCUGAUAUAAUCACCUGGCCUCAGUUCCAUGGCUCUGCCUAGAAGAUUCCUAUGAGUGGAGGUGCUGCUAGGGGCUUCACCCUAAGAUGAGGCACCAGAAUCUCCUGAAUUGAUAGUUGGAAGAGGUGCCACCUGGGAAGGAAGGAGGAGCUUCCAGCAGAGACAGCCAGCAGAGGGAUACUCCAAGUACUUAUUUAUUACUACGAGACACCAGCCACACUCUGGGGCCACAGCUGCACAGCUUCCAACCCUAACUCACCAGGUGCAUGACCUUUUGCAAAGUACAUCAUUUCUCUGUGCUUCAGUUUCCUCAUCUGCAGAAAAGAAAUAGUAA
RNAcentral lists this long non-coding RNA (2700 nucleotides) under Marmota monax (woodchuck). Lineage: Eukaryota; Metazoa; Chordata; Mammalia; Rodentia; Sciuridae. The record is from RNAcentral.